UGGAGCAGGAGGGCGACGCCGAGCUCGGCUGGGGCCUCCUCGGAGACGCCUACGACCGCUGCGGCGAGGUCUGCGCCGAGUACGCCAAGACCUUCUACCUCGAUAAUUUAUUCAAUCUGAAGCCAAAUACUCAUGCAUAUACCAGUGACCCCCUACAGUUUGGAAAUUAUGGGAAGUCCAUUUCUCCGACUGAUCUAGCUACUACGGCGGCCA
Molecule: long non-coding RNA, 213 nt
Organism: Triticum dicoccoides
Lineage: Eukaryota; Viridiplantae; Streptophyta; Magnoliopsida; Poales; Poaceae
Exons: 3
Source: RefSeq, a predicted model, not a curated record